UACCGCUGCCGUGCAACGAAACUGUAGG
RNAcentral lists this non-coding RNA (28 nucleotides) under Rattus norvegicus (Norway rat). Lineage: Eukaryota; Metazoa; Chordata; Mammalia; Rodentia; Muridae. The record is from RNAcentral.